CCUUCUAUCUAGCUUUCAACAUCACUCGUAACCAAUCGACCAUACUAAAAUUUCGGAUUUCAAUACGUUCUUGAAGAUGAGAUCAAGACGUUUUGAAUAAUGAGGUGCAUGUAAUAAGAAAAGUGCUACCUGUAUAAUUGACACAUUUGAGGAAUACAAGUGCAAGUAGCCUAAGAGAAAACAAAGCAGGUCAUUAUCAUAUGCAUGUUGAGUCAUUUAAAUUGCGUUGUUUUUCUUUCUUGCGCGCAGAGCAAACAAAACCAAGCAAUGACUCAACCAAGGUGGCCAAGAUGAUGAUGAUUCAGAUUCCUCUUCCUCUUCCAAAUUUUGCUAUCCACAAAGCCACCUCUUUAGGUCUGAGCACUGUGGCUGUGGACCUGCAGUGGCCAAUCGAGCAAUAAUCCAAGGCAGAGAAAAAACCAGUGAUUUCAGAUGGGAAAACACAACCAAAAACUGAGCCCUCAAACAGUUUCGCCUAACCUGGACCUGACUCAGCAGCACACAGACAUCGCUCUCUGGAUUAUCUAGUAUCUACCACAUGUCGGACCAAUCCAAAACUCCAUAUAUUCUUGUAUUCAAUCAUUGAGUUUCUGAUGAAAGCAAGCAAGCAGGAUCGAGCAAAAGGUGGUUUGUGGUCUGUGGACGUUGGCAUGAGGUGGCUUCUUAUAAUUCCACACUGAUUCCACGUCCCUUGUAACCUUGUUUCUCUCCAAUCCCCAGAUAUGGCCACAAUUCCCACAAAUUUACCUAUAUACUAAAGCUUGGUCUACUGUUUAUAUCUACUGUUUAUAAGUUGCUCGCUCGAAGUUGCUCGAAGUUGCUCACUCGACAGUUUAUAUAUAAGCAAGCACAGGUUAAGGUUAAUAAUGUGUUUUUAUGUUAAUUAAUAAUGUGUUUUUAUGUGAUGACCACUUUAUCCCUGUUGUGUUUAGAAAAUCACAAUAUAAAUAUGUAGAGCAGAUGUCGACAAAUCCUAAAUAAACUGUGAAUGAUCGAGAACGAUCUGGACGCCCGAUUAAGCACCGACCUUCUUCAAAACAAAGUGAAAAGUUUGCAAAUUUUCUAACUGUGCAUGAUAUACUAGAAGAGAUUCUAGAAGAACCCAGACCGAAAAGAGAGUGAGAAAAACCCAGGCAGAAGAGAUGGUCUACAAACCCAGACAGAAGAGAAAGUGAGAGAGAAAAGAAGAGAGCAGAAGAAACAGGGCGAAAGAAAGUGAAAGAGAAAAGAGAGCAAACGCCCGAUUCAGAUCCAAGCAGCCAAACUCAGAGCAAAAAUUUUGUAUGUUUGUUCCCGGCAAAUUUCGUUUUUUACUCCAGUGGUAGCAGGUUGUUCUGUGGUUCGUUUUCCAGUCCAGUACCCCUCAGUUUAAGGGAAUUGGUGAACUAAAGAAGUUAGCUGAAUUGGGCAAGAGUUUAAGGGAAG
Fragaria vesca subsp. vesca is the source of this 1425-nucleotide RNA transcript. RefSeq lists it as uncharacterized. The transcript has 2 exons. The record is from RefSeq and is a predicted model, not a curated record. NCBI's taxonomy places the organism in Eukaryota, Viridiplantae, Streptophyta, Magnoliopsida, Rosales, Rosaceae.